The sequence is a transfer RNA, 74 nucleotides long. It matches the Rfam family "tRNA". From Rfam's summary of the family: Transfer RNA (tRNA) molecules are approximately 80 nucleotides in length. Their secondary structure includes four short double-helical elements and three loops (D, anti-codon, and T loops).
GGGCCUAUGGUUCAGUGGCAGAACACGGCAUUCGCAUUGCUGGGACGGCGGUUCGAUUCCGCCUAGGUCCACAA